RNAcentral lists this ribosomal RNA (431 nucleotides) under uncultured bacterium. RNAcentral describes it as "bacterial SSU rRNA". It matches the Rfam family "Bacterial small subunit ribosomal RNA", at positions 355 to 796 of the family's 1533-position model. The record is from RNAcentral.
UCGAGGAUCUUCGGCAAUGGGCGCAAGCCUGACCGAGCGACGCCGCGUGCGCGAUGAAGGCCUUCGGGUUGUAAAGCGCUGUCGAGGGGGAGGAAGCCGUAAGGUUGACCUAUCCCUGGAGGAAGCACGGGCUAAGUUCGUGCCAGCAGCCGCGGUAAGACGAACCGUGCAAACGUUGUUCGGAAUCACUGGGCUUAAAGGGCGCGUAGGCGGGCUGCCAAGUCCGGGGUGAAAGCUUUCGGCUCAACCGGAAAAGGGCCUCAGAUACUGGCAGUCUGGAGGGAGGUAGGGGCAGCGGGAACUUCCGGUGGAGCGGUGAAAUGCGUUGAUAUCGGAAGGAACGCCGGUGGCGAAAGCGCGCUGCUGGACCUCUGCUGACGCUGAGGCGCGAAAGCCAGGGGAGCAAACGGGAUUAGAUACCCGGGUAGUCC